UUAAUAUAUAAAAUCAUUACUAAUAAUCAUUGCUUAAUAAAUAUAGAUAUUAACUUAUUUCUAAAUAUCAAACCCCCAUAUGUAUUAUAUAGACUUAUUAAUAAUAUUUGUUUCGUAAUAUAAUAAUAAUGCAAGAAUAUAGAUUUUGGGGGAUGGUGAAGUUUUAAUAUAAAGACAUAUCCUUGGCUGAAAUUAACAGCUAGGCCCGUGGUGCUCGGGUGGUCAUAUGACGUGUGUUUGGAGUUUGAGGUUGCGAGUUCGAGUCUGUUUAGCAGCAAGUUGCUUGAAUAAAAUAAUUUUUUUUUAACAGCCGGCUAGUACACUUUUUUUUAUUUACAGCCGUAAGAGCUUGUCCCGGCUGGUACAUUUUUUUUUUAACAGCCGUAAGAGCUUGUCCCGGUUAGUAAAAUAAUUUUUUUUUAACAGCCGGCUAGUACACUUUUUUUUUUUUAGCCGUAAGAGCUUGUCCCGGCUGGUACAUUUUUUUUUUAACAGCCGUAAGAGCUUGUCCCGGUUAGUAAAAUAAUUUUUUUUUAACAGCCGGCUAGUACACUUUUUUUUUUUUACAGCCGUAAGAGCUUGUCCCGGCUGGUACAUUUUUUUUUUAAAAGCCGUAAGAGCUUGUCCCGGUUAGUAAAAUAAUUUUUUUUUAACAGCCGGCUAGUACACUUUUUUUUUUUUACAGCCGUAAGAGCUUGUCCCGGCUGGUACAUUUUUUUUUUAACAGCCGUAAGAGCUUGUCCCGGUUAGUAAAAUAAUUUUUUUUUAACAGCCGGCUAGUACACUUUUUUUUUUUUACAGCCGUAAGAGCUUGUCCCGGCUGGUACAUUUUUUUUUUUAACAGCCGUAAGAGCUUGUCCCGGUUGGUAUAUUUUUAUUUUUUUUUACAGCCGGAAGAGCUUGUAUUUUUAUAAUUUUUUAUUUGCUAUUUUUAUAAAAAAUAAAGAAUAUAAAAUAUUUUAUAACAAAUAAAGAAUAUAAAAUAUUUGCUAUUUUUAUUUGCUAUUUGUUAUUAAAAUAUUUUAUAACAAAUAAAGAAUAU
This 1042-nucleotide long non-coding RNA is filed under the name Panax ginseng (ginseng). Its description in RNAcentral is "long non-coding RNA (PGIN_LNC014113)". Lineage: Eukaryota; Viridiplantae; Streptophyta; Magnoliopsida; Apiales; Araliaceae. The record is from RNAcentral.